Eutrema salsugineum is the source of this 107-nucleotide small nucleolar RNA. It matches the Rfam family "Plant small nucleolar RNA R71". From Rfam's summary of the family: R71 is a member of the C/D box family of snoRNAs containing the C (UGAUGA) and D (CUGA) box motifs. NCBI's taxonomy places the organism in Eukaryota, Viridiplantae, Streptophyta, Magnoliopsida, Brassicales, Brassicaceae. The record is from Rfam.
AAUCCAUGGUGAGGGCAGUCAGGUUUAUACUCUUUAAAACGCUCUCAGGCUUCAUAGAAAGGCUCAGCCGGUCCUUGCUGAAAACUUGAGAUCUUGGUUCUCAGUAA